UCGUGCUUAACACAUGCAAGUCGAACGGAAAGGCCCUUUCGGGGGUACUCGAGUGGCGAACGGGUGAGUAACACGUGGGUGAUCUGCCCUGCACUCUGGGAUAAGCCUGGGAAACUGGGUCUAAUACCGGAUAGGACCAUGGGAUGCAUGUUCUGUGGUGGAAAGCUUUUGCGGUGUGGGAUGGGCCCGCGGCCUAUCAGCUUGUUGGUGGGGUGAUGGCCUACCAAGGCGACGACGGGUAGCCGGCCUGAGAGGGUGUCCGGCCACACUGGGACUGAGAUACGGCCCAGACUCCUACGGGAGGCAGCAGUGGGGAAUAUUGCACAAUGGGCGCAAGCCUGAUGCAGCGACGCCGCGUGGGGGAUGACGGCCUUCGGGUUGUAAACCUCUUUCAGUAUCGGCGAAGCUCCUGGAUUUUUCUGGGGGUGACGGUAGGUACAGAAGAAGCACCGGCCAACUACGUGCCAGCAGCCGCGGUAAUACGUAGGGUGCGAGCGUUGUCCGGAAUUACU
This 512-nucleotide ribosomal RNA is filed under the name Mycobacterium senuense. Its description in RNAcentral is "Mycolicibacter senuensis bacterial SSU rRNA". It matches the Rfam family "Bacterial small subunit ribosomal RNA", at positions 42 to 555 of the family's 1533-position model. The record is from RNAcentral. Lineage: Bacteria; Bacillati; Actinomycetota; Actinomycetes; Mycobacteriales; Mycobacteriaceae.